RNAcentral lists this ribosomal RNA (1644 nucleotides) under wastewater metagenome. RNAcentral describes it as "bacterial LSU rRNA". It matches the Rfam family "Bacterial large subunit ribosomal RNA", at positions 281 to 1987 of the family's 2925-position model. The record is from RNAcentral.
UUACGGCAAGUGUGGGGUUGUAGGACAGUUUUUUAGAAUAAGAAGGAAUAAGAAAGACUUGGGAAGGUCUGCCAAAGAAGGUGAUAGCCCUGUAUUAGUAAAAUUUUUAGACGUAACUGUAUCCUGAGUAGGUGGGGACUGGAGAAAUCCCCAUUGAAACUGCCGGCACCAUCCGGUAAGGCUAAAUACUAACAAGAGACCGAUAGUGAACUAGUACUGUGAAGGAAAGGUGAAAAGUACCCCGAGUAGGGGGGUGAAAAGAUCCUGAAACCAUACACUUACAAGCGGUCGGAGCAGAGCGAUUCUGUGACGGCGUGCCUUUUGCAUAAUGACCCUACGAGUUACUCUUCCUGGCAAGAUUAAGGUUUAUAGGACUGGAGUCGGAGCGAAAGCGAGUCUGAAAAGGGCGUUUAGUCAGGGGGAGUAGACGCGAAACCUUGUGAUCUACCCAUGGUCAGGUUGAAGGUGUGGUAACACACACUGGAGGACCGAACGAGUUUACGUUGAAAAGUAUUUCGAUGAGCUGUGGGUAGGGGUGAAAGGCUAAUCAAACUGGGAAAUAGCUCGUACUCCCCGAAAUGUUUUUAGGAACAGCGUCGAGGUUUAGUUUCAUGCAGGUAAAGCUACCAAUAGGACUAGGGGGAGUCAAAUCCUACCAAAUCCUGAUGAACUCUGAAUGGCAUGAAAUAUACACGGCAGUGAGGGCAGGGGUGCUAAGGUCACUGUCCGAGAGGGAAAGAACCCAGACCAACAGCUAAGGUCCCAAAAUCUAUACUAAGUUGAACAAAGGAGGUCUGAUUGCAGAGACAGCCAGGAUGUUAGCUUGGAAGCAGCUAUUCAUUUAAAGAGUGCGUAACAGCUCACUGGUCGAGCGAGGCGGGCAUCGAUAAUAAACGGGCAUCAAGUAUAGUACCGAAGCUUUGGAUUAUGUACUUUGUACAUACUGGUAGGGGAGCAUUCUCAUUGCAGUGAAGGAUAGUCGAUAAGGCUUACUGGAGCGGUGAGAAAAGCAAAUGUAGGGAUGAGUAACGAUAAUGGGGGCGAGAAACCCCCACGCCGAAAAGUCAAGGUUUCCUCAGCUAUGCUAAUCAACUGAGGGUUAGUCGGGGGCUAAGGGUUUAGCGAAGGCGACAAUCUAAUGCACAUCAGGUUAAUAUUCCUGAACUUAUUAUUAGGGAAACACAAUGACGGAGAUUCGUGGUUGGCAGGUACUGACGGAAUAGUGCCUUUGAGAAGAAGCCGCAAGGCAGAAACGAGUCAGCGAAGAGACUUCCAAGAAAAGUUGUGAAUCUAUACUUAUUAGUAACCCGUACCGUAAACCGACACAGGUGACUGGGAAGAAUAUUCUAAGGCGCUCGAGUGAAUCACGGCUAAGGAACUCGGCAAAUUAACCCUGUAACUUCGGGAUAAAGGGAGCCUCCUCGCAAGAGAGGCCGCAGAGAAUUGGUCCAGGCGACUGUUUAACAAAAACACAUGGCUUUGCAAAAACGAAAGUUGACGUAUAAGGCCUGACACCUGCCCGGUGCUGGAAGGUUAAGAGGGGAUGUUAGCGCAAGCGAAGCAUUGAAUCGAAGCCCCAGUAAACGGCGGCCGUAACUAUAACGGUCCUAAGGUAGCGAAAUUCCUUGUCGGGUAAGUUCCGAC